GAUGAACGCUGGCGGCGUGCCUAAUACAUGCAAGUCGAGCGAACGGACGAGAAGCUUGCUUUUCUGAUGUUAGCGGCGGACGGGUGAGUAACACGUGGAUAACCUACCUAUAAGACUGGGAUAACUUCGGGAAACCGGUGCUAAUACCGGAUAAUAUUUUGAACGGCAUGGUUCAAAAGUGAAAGACGGUCUUGCUGUCACUUAUAGACGGAUCCGCGCUGCAUUAGCUAGUUGGUAAGGUAACGGCCUACCAAGGCAACGAUGCAUAGCCGACCUGAGAGGGUGAUCAGCCACACUGGAACUGAGACACGGUCCAGACUCCUACGGGAGGCAGCAGUAGGGAAUCUUCCGCAAAGGGCGAAAGCCUGACGGAGCAACGCCGCGUGAGUGAUGAAGGUCUUCGGAUCGUAAAACUCUGUUAUUAGGGAAGAACAUAUGUGUAAGUAACUGUGCACAUCUUGACGGUACCUAAUCAGAAAGCCACGGCUAACUACGUG
RNAcentral lists this ribosomal RNA (497 nucleotides) under uncultured bacterium. Its description in RNAcentral is "partial 16S ribosomal RNA". It matches the Rfam family "Bacterial small subunit ribosomal RNA", at positions 28 to 507 of the family's 1533-position model. The record is from RNAcentral.